Molecule: small RNA, 46 nt
Filed under: Neorhodopirellula pilleata
Lineage: Bacteria; Pseudomonadati; Planctomycetota; Planctomycetia; Pirellulales; Pirellulaceae
Description: Acido-Lenti-1 RNA
Rfam family: Acido-Lenti-1 RNA
Source: Rfam by way of RNAcentral
CCCCAUGCUCACGCAUGGGGCUAAGUGCUGCCGUCGCUCCGCGACU